Molecule: transfer RNA, 74 nt
Filed under: Bacteroidales bacterium
Lineage: Bacteria; Pseudomonadati; Bacteroidota; Bacteroidia; Bacteroidales
Also listed under: 1 other name
Description: tRNA-Ala
Rfam family: tRNA
About the family: Transfer RNA (tRNA) molecules are approximately 80 nucleotides in length. Their secondary structure includes four short double-helical elements and three loops (D, anti-codon, and T loops).
Source: RNAcentral
GGGGCAUUAGCUCAUUUGGCUAGAGCGUUUGACUGGCAGUCAAGAGGUGAUGAGUUCGAAUCUCAUAUGCUCCA